This 72-nucleotide transfer RNA is filed under the name Marmota monax (woodchuck). RNAcentral's name for it is "tRNA.Ala". Lineage: Eukaryota; Metazoa; Chordata; Mammalia; Rodentia; Sciuridae. The record is from RNAcentral.
AGAAAUGUAGCUCAGUGGUAGAGUGCCUGGCCAGCAAGUAGGAGGCCCUGCAUUCAAUUCCCAGCACUGCAA